CGUGGCAUCGAUCGGUAGGGGUUCUGAGAGGAAGGUCCCCCACAUUGGAACUGAGACACGGUCCAAACUCCUACGGGAGGCAGCAGUGAGGAAUAUUGGUCAAUGGGCGGAAGCCUGAACCAGCCAAGUAGCGUGAAGGACGACUGCCCUAUGGGUUGUAAACUUCUUUUAUGCGGGGAUAAAGUUCGCCACGUGUGGCGUUUUGCAGGUACCGCAUGAAUAAGGACCGGCUAAUUCCGUGCCAGCAGCCGCGGUAAUACGGAAGGUCCAGGCGUUAUCCGGAUUCAUUGGGUUUAAAGGGAGCGUAGGCCGCCUUUUAAGCGUGUUGUGAAAUGUAGGGGCUCAACCCCUGCACUGCAGCGCGAACUGGAGGGCUUGAGUACACACAAAGUAGGCGGAAUUCAUGGUGUAGCGGUGAAAUGCUUAGAUAUCAUGAAGAACCCCGAUUGCGAAGGCAGCUUACUGGAGUGUAACUGACGCUGAAGCUCGAAAGCGCGGGUAUCGAACAGGAUUAGAUACCCUGGUAGUCCGCGCGGUAAACGAUGGAUGCCCGCUGUUUGCCA
RNAcentral lists this ribosomal RNA (563 nucleotides) under uncultured bacterium. Its description in RNAcentral is "bacterial SSU rRNA". It matches the Rfam family "Bacterial small subunit ribosomal RNA", at positions 269 to 829 of the family's 1533-position model. The record is from RNAcentral.